RNAcentral lists this ribosomal RNA (497 nucleotides) under uncultured bacterium. RNAcentral's name for it is "partial 16S ribosomal RNA". It matches the Rfam family "Bacterial small subunit ribosomal RNA", at positions 28 to 507 of the family's 1533-position model. The record is from RNAcentral.
GAUGAACGCUGGCGGCGUGCCUAAUACAUGCAAGUCGAGCGAACAGACGAGGAGCUUGCUCCUCUGACGUUAGCGGCGGACGGGUGAGUAACACGUGGAUAACCUACCUAUAAGACUGGGAUAACUUCGGGAAACCGGAGCUAAUACCGGAUAAUCUAUUGAACCGCAUGGUUCAAUAGUGAAAGACGGUUUUGCUGUCACUUAUAGAUGGAUCCGCGCCGCAUUAGCUAGUUGGUAAGGUAACGGCUUACCAAGGCAACGAUGCGUAGCCGACCUGAGAGGGUGAUCGGCCACACUGGAACUGAGACGCGGUCCAGACUCCUACGGGAGGCAGCAGUAGGGAAUCGUCCGCAAUGGGCGAAAGCCUGACGGAGCAACGCCGCGUGAGUGAUGAAGGUCUUCGGAGCGUAAAACUCUGUUAUUAGGGAAGAACAAAUGUGUAAGUAACUAUGCACGUCUUGACGGUACCUAAUCAGAAAGCCACGGCUAACUACGUG